CAAGGCUUAAACUUUAAGUUAAGAAACGAUGAGAUAUUAAGAAAGGUGAGCCAGCUUCCUAUUGCAGAAGGGAAAAGAAUCUUAGCUCGCUCCACAGCUCGCUCCCCUCACGCUUGGACUCUUCCGAGCUCAAGCGUCCGCUCGCGUGCCACGCAUGCGCCAAGCGCGAGUUUAGGACCUCGUGCUCGCCGGCGCCCUCCCAUUCCUGCAGUCAGCCCGCGGCGCUAGGGGGCGUGCCGCUAAGUCCUAUUCAUCGAGGGAGGAGCCGGGCACUGCCCACCAGGAGGCCCCACAGCCAGAGGGAGACGGAGUCAUGCCAAGAAGCUCCUUUACCACGGUACAGAAGUGAUGUCUUGGCCUUGCCUGCUGUUACAGAGUGGAGGAUAUUUGUAUGUACCUACUGACUCGAUGGACGAAGACUGUGACGUGCCUUGUAGAGAAAAUACAUAUAUUAGUCAAUGAAGUGGAGAAGAAAUAAUGGUAUUCCAGUUCCAAGUCCAGGCCUAAAUAAGCUUCUGCUUGCUGUUUGUACUUGUAUCAUCACCUGGAGCGGAAUGAGCUUGGGCCAGCCUGCUGGUUCCAGGAAGAGAGUAAUAAACACUUGGAACACAGCAGAAGCACCUCAGCUGAGCCCAGCCCCCAUUGGCCAACACACUGCUAACCCCCAAGACAUGUAAGCUAAAUAAAUGUUUGCUUGUAAUAUGACAUUGGGAAUUUGUGGUGGUGGUGGCCCCAGGGUUUAUACAGCAACACCUAAUUGCUAGAUCUGCCACAAAUUUUCAUACUCAAAUUCAGAGGAGUAACCAGGUAUCAGUUGAUACAGCUGCCCCAAAUUCAAAUAGCCAAAUAAAAACAUGUAGUUGUUACCUCCAAAAAUGUUAUUUCCAACUUGACUAUACUCAUAGUCUCAUUUUUCCAGCAACUAUUACAAAUUCAGCAGCUUCUAUUCAAACACAUCAGGAAGUUUUUGACAAAUUGAUGUUUGAUGUCUUAAUAAAAGCAUUUGAGACCCUAAAACUGCUCUUAUUUUGUCAAGUUCUUGUAUUCUGAGGGAUCUGGCAACUUCUCCAACCUUGAACUGAAAUAAGCAACCUUUUUUUUUUAAUUAUUUUUUUAGUUGC
Molecule: long non-coding RNA, 1121 nt
Organism: Capra hircus (goat)
Lineage: Eukaryota; Metazoa; Chordata; Mammalia; Artiodactyla; Bovidae
Exons: 3
Source: RefSeq, a predicted model, not a curated record